GAUGAACGCUAGCGGGAGGCUUAACACAUGCAAGUCGAGGGGCAGCACGAGGUAGCAAUACUUUGGUGGCGACCGGCGCACGGGUGAGUAACGCGUAUGUAACCUACCCUGUACUGGGGGAUAGCCCGGAGAAAUCCGGAUUAAUACCCCAUAAUUAUAUUUGGUGGCAUCAUCAGAUAUUUAAAGUUCCGACGGUACAGGAUGGGCAUGCGUAACAUUAGCUAGUUGGUAGGUAACGGCCUACCAAGGCUGCGAUGUUUAGGGGUCCUGAGAGGGUGAUCCCCCACACUGGUACUGGAGACACGGACCAGACCUCCUACGGGAGGCUG
Molecule: ribosomal RNA, 329 nt
Filed under: uncultured Bacteroidota bacterium
Lineage: Bacteria; Pseudomonadati; Bacteroidota
Description: bacterial SSU rRNA
Rfam family: Bacterial small subunit ribosomal RNA
Source: RNAcentral